UUCCUGGGGGCAGUGCCAGGAGGAGCCCCCUAUGAAUCAGAUUGGCUGGAGCUUGGGUAGCAGCUGUUACAGCCAGUAAGAGCAAAAGGGGAAGCUUCAGGCAGGGGAGGAGGGGCUGGAGGAAGCUCUCCACUCUGGAGGAUUCCCUGGCUGCUGACAUGGCUAAGUACCUCCUUGAGUACAAAGAUUUUGCAACCAUAACAAGGCUCCAUCAGAAAGGUACCUUGCUCAGGAUCCCCACUGGGACAAACUUCUCAACAACAAAACAACCUAAAAUAUUACUAGAUAGAAUACAACAAAGCUGCUGAGAAUUCACAACUUCCAGCUCACGGCCUGCUGCUUGAACAACGCUGGGACUGUUAAGACAGCAGGGCAGUGUGGAGACCUACGGCAUUCAGUCUUUCAUUUGGGGCUCAUGGGCAGCUCAAUAUUUGGGCACAAUCCACCAGGAAAUUAUCUUGUACAAAUUGCGGUAGAAUGAAUGGGAAAGUUCUUUUGUGCAACAGGAGAACUUUCUGAAGGAUUGUGCUUCUUUGUGGAUAGUCUUUUAACCUAAGAUGAUAAUACAUGCAGAUUAGAGUAUAAAGAAAUAAAAUUAAAAAGACAAAAUGGCUGCAGUCUUUUGCCCUGCUAUAUCUAAUUCUCUCUCUAGCCCAUUGCUUAAGAAUCAUCCUUGAAAUCAAUGAGACUUCUGACUGCCACGUUUUGUUGUUGUUGUUUAGGAAUGUGCAGAAUCCCCUUGAGACAUUUCGCUAGAUUGUGAGCCCUUCAGGACAGGGUGCCAUUUUGUUAUGUUUCUGUGCUAACCAGUUUGAUAAUUUCUUUUGAAAAGUGGUAUAAAAAUGGAAGAAGUU
Molecule: long non-coding RNA, 854 nt
Organism: Hemicordylus capensis (graceful crag lizard)
Lineage: Eukaryota; Metazoa; Chordata; Lepidosauria; Squamata; Cordylidae
Exons: 3
Source: RefSeq, a predicted model, not a curated record